UGGGGAAUAUUGCACAAUGGGCGAAAGCCUGAUGCAGCGACGCCGCGUGAGGGAUGACGGCCUUCGGGUUGUAAACCUCUUUCAGUAGGGACGAAGCGCAAGUGACGGUACCUGCAGAAGAAGCACCGGCUAACUACGUGCCAGCAGCCGCGGUAAUACGUAGGGUGCGAGCGUUGUCCGGAAUUACUGGGCGUAAAGAGCUCGUAGGCGGUUUGUCACGUCGUCUGUGAAAUCCUAGGGCUUAACCCUGGACGUGCAGGCGAUACGGGCUGACUUGAGUACUACAGUGGAGACUGGAAUUUCUGGUGUAGCGGUGGAAUGCACAGAUAUCAGGAAGAACACCGAUGGCGAAGGCAGGUCUCUGGGUAGUAACUGACGCUGAGGAGCGAAAGCAUGGGUAGCGAACAGG
This 409-nucleotide ribosomal RNA is filed under the name bacterium. Its description in RNAcentral is "partial 16S ribosomal RNA". It matches the Rfam family "Bacterial small subunit ribosomal RNA", at positions 355 to 776 of the family's 1533-position model. The record is from RNAcentral.